ACACAAGUUUAUUUUAUUCUUAUUAUUUUUUAUUUUUGAAAAAACCACUUUUCGAUUUGAUGUCUUUGGAGAAUUCCGAUGUUAUUAAUAAAAAUUUCAAUCAUUGGUUAUGAAUUUCAACAAAUAGAAUUAGGUUUCGGCUCAAUUCUUGGAUAAAUGUUUGAGCACAAAGAACAUGAAUCCAUCUGCACAAGCGCACUAAAAAAAAAAUUCGGGUUUGCACACACAUCUACUCUGUUUUUGAUAAUAAUGAUAGUAUCGAUAUUUAGACUGAAUAUAUAAUUCAGUGAAUCAAUAAUCGACCGCGGUAUAUCAAAAACAAUUGAUAAAUAAUUUUAAAAAUAUGGAAUCAGAUAAUUCAAUUAAAUUCAAUGCUCAUUCAUCAAUAACGACAAAGGGCAAAAUUACGAAGCAACGAACUCGAAAUAAAUCAACGACAACUAAAUCAAAAUUAAAAAAGAAAAAAACUACCACCGAAGAAAAUUUACAGAUAGAUGAACAAACGAAUUUGAAGCAAAUUUCAAUAUCCGAUUUAGGACAGCAACAAUCUUCGUCAUCGUCUUGUGUGGCAUUGUUUCAAGAACAGCAUACAACAAAUGAUGACUUGACAAUCCAUUCUUUUGAAGAUAAUUCUAAUAGUUCUCGUUGUUCGAAUUGGUUUUUCAUAGUGGCUGAUGUACCGAGAAAAAAAUCCCCAGAUUCUAAUGCCGAAAGAACCUUUUGUCAAGGAUGUGGUCUCAUACGUCGUAUAAGGAAAAUGUACCGUCUAAAAUUGAUUCAUAUUGAUGAAUAUGAUCCAUUAUCGACUUCAUCAUCAUCGCAAUCAAGACCUAAAGUUGACCUAUACAUCUGUCGUGAUUGUGGAUUCUAUAAUCUUAAAACAAAAACUUUUGAAUAUUAUUGGUUAUCCGAUGCUGAUGAGUCAGACAUUGAUGAGCAAUGUGUAGAGAUAAAUAUGGUCGAAGGCGAUUAUUGUGAUCAAAUCGAUAAUAAAAUCGUCCAUAAUGAUGCUGAAAUAAUCACUACACAUCUUCCAUUGCAGUGCAAUAAUGUUCAUAAUGAUAAUGAUGAAAAAGAAUCGAUAAAUUUACAAUCAUCCGACGGUAGUCAUCAAAAUGAUGAAUUCGAUUCUUGCCAAUAUGUAUGAUGAUGAUUAAUAUAAUUUUCGUCACCAAAGCAUCAAUGUACAUGUUGGAUAAUAAAUGUUUAUAAGAUGUGAUGCGCAGUGCAAAUGUACAUUUUCGUCCUUGUCGUUCACUAUACUUGCAUAUUUUAUAUCCGUCUUGAAAAAAUCCUGUAUAUUAUUAUAUUAUAAGAUUUAAUGUGUUAUAUACAAACAUAACCGAAUAAAAUUCUCGAUAAAUCGAUUUCCUGCUCAACUAAAGGAAAACAUCAUUUGCUUGACCAUUCCCAAUAUUCAAUGAAUCAUCUUUAUCUUUUUUUUACGAAUAAAUUAAAAUGAUGAUUGAUACUAAAAGUAUAUAUCAUUGUGGUUGCGGUAUUGAAUUGCUAAAACAUGCUGCUAUUUCAAUCGAGAAAAAGAAUUUUUUAAGUCAUUCAUCAUCAUCUUUAUUAUCAAAGGAAAUUAUGAUGGCCAACAAUGAUUAUCGAAUUAUGAAUGGAUUAUUUUGGCUUAAAAACGCAGCCAUAUUCAUGAUCAAUUAUGGUCAAAAUGAAUCGGAUUCGAACAAUCAUUCCAUUCGAUCGCCAUCACAAUCAAUUGCAAGUGAAAUUGAAAUCGAUGAUCAAUCUUUUGACGAUUCCACGUCUGAAUAUUACGGUGUUUACGCCGAAAAACUUGAAUCUCAUCGUGAUGAUAAGCUUACUCUAUCGAACAAUUCGGUAUCACAUCUUGUUGAUUGUUCUCAUGAUACAGUGACAAAUCUUUACAAUGAUCAUGCAUAUGCCAAAAGGCCUUGUUGUUACAAAUGUAAUUGUCAAAGGGAAAGAAAGAUUUUAUCAAAACAAAAUCGAAAAUUAUUACGAUUUCAAACUUUAUUCGAAACCAAAUGGAAACAAAAUCAGAGACAAAAAUAAUGAAUUAUAGAUUUAUAUAGUCAUUAAAUUUUAAUAUUGUGAAAAAAAUCAAAUAGAAAAACGAUUGCACACAUUUCCAAAGUUUCAAACAAUAUUAUGACAAAAACUAUUUUCCUUCAGAAUCAUUUUCUGUUUUAUCUACAACAGAUGUACCUAAUGAACAAUUUAUUGAUGAUGAUGAUGUCGAUGAUGAUGAUGAUGAUGAAGUGUUAAUUUUAUUAUCGUUUUUCUUUGCAGAGAUGACAUUGGCUAAAUGUCGUUUCAAUUUUUUUUCUUGCUUUCGUCGUCUUCUUUCGGCUUCUUUCUGGACUAAUCCAUCAUGUAUUUUUAUUAAUUUAUCUACAUCUUGUAACCAUUGUGAUUUUGGGGAUAAUUUAAAUUUUCCCAUUGUUGUUGUUUCUUGAAUUUUCGAAUCAAAAGUAUGACAAAUUCGAAAUUGCUGAAUAUUUUUAUUUAUAUUACUGUCAUGUUUCGGCAACACACACGUGAUAUUCGAAAUAUGAACUCAAACCAUUUUACGUACUCUAUGAAUAAAGAAUUUUCUAAUAA
Molecule: RNA transcript, 2586 nt
Organism: Dermatophagoides farinae (American house dust mite)
Lineage: Eukaryota; Metazoa; Arthropoda; Arachnida; Sarcoptiformes; Pyroglyphidae
Gene name: fructose-2,6-bisphosphatase TIGAR
Source: RefSeq, a predicted model, not a curated record